Ribosomal RNA from Pteropus vampyrus (large flying fox), 120 nucleotides. NCBI's taxonomy places the organism in Eukaryota, Metazoa, Chordata, Mammalia, Chiroptera, Pteropodidae. The record is from Ensembl.
GUCUAUGGCCGUGCUACCCUGAACAAGCCCGAUCCUAUCUGAUCUUGGAAGCUAAGCAGAGUCAAGCCUGGUUAGUAACUUGGAUGAGAGACCACCUAGGAAAACCAAGUGCCAUAGGUG